UGAGGAAUAUUGGGCAAUGGGCGCAAGCCUGACCCAGCAACGCCGCGUGAAGGAUGAAGGCCCUUGGGUUGUAAACUUCUUUUGCAGGGGAAGAGAGCGGACGGUACCCUGAGAAUAAGUCACGGCUAACUACGUGCCAGCAGCCGCGGUAAUACGUAGGUGACAAGCGUUAUCCGGAAUUACUGGGCGUAAAGCGCACGCAGGCGGCCGAGAAAGUCUGACGUGAAAUCUCCCGGCUUAACCGGGAGCGGUCGUUGGAAACUACUUGGCUUGAGGCGAUGAGAGGGGUGUGGAAUUCCCGGUGUAGUGGUGGAAUGCGUAGAUAUCGGGAGGAACAUCAGUGGCGAAAGCGGCACCCUGGCAUUGGCCUGACGCUCAGGUGCGAAAGCGUGGGGAGCGAACGG
Molecule: ribosomal RNA, 404 nt
Filed under: uncultured bacterium
Lineage: Bacteria
Description: bacterial SSU rRNA
Rfam family: Bacterial small subunit ribosomal RNA
Source: RNAcentral